UGUCUCUUGUAAUCAAAGGGGUAACCCUUUAAGCGAGAAAGCAGUCGGAAGGAUGGUAUUGAAUUGGUAUUUCCUCCUGUUUAAUGGAAAUGUAAUCGCACUGCCUGACUCAUCUAAAUAUGGAGUUCUUCAUCUGUCAACAAUCCUGCUGUCCCCAUCCCACUGGUCUGUUUCCUGUGCAUCUGGUGCUUGUGUCUCCUGAUGAACGCUCAGGAAGCUCAAGUGUUUGUUAUCGGCUAAUGCGUCCACAACGACACACCGCAACUGUGUGACUAGAAACCACUAGGACAAAACAACAGGAAAUGACAAAGGAAGGGGUAUCAUGGCAAAUUUGCACCCCCCCCCCCCAUAAAAGUAUAUUAACAAAAGUUAUUGAUACACAUCACAACAACAACAUAACCAUUGGUGUGUCUGUAUAAGACAAAAUGAGUUCAUAAAAUGUUGCUGUAAAGGUUGUAUUUAAUCACACGCAGGUCAAUGUAAUGUAAAGCAUCCAGAGAUGAUAAAUAACAAAAACAAUAAAAUGUCAACAUUAAAUACCAAU
Acipenser ruthenus (sterlet) is the source of this 544-nucleotide long non-coding RNA. RefSeq lists it as uncharacterized. The record is from RefSeq and is a predicted model, not a curated record. The transcript has 3 exons. NCBI's taxonomy places the organism in Eukaryota, Metazoa, Chordata, Actinopteri, Acipenseriformes, Acipenseridae.